This is a long non-coding RNA of Papaver somniferum (opium poppy), 2263 nucleotides long. RefSeq lists it as uncharacterized. The transcript has 10 exons. Lineage: Eukaryota; Viridiplantae; Streptophyta; Magnoliopsida; Ranunculales; Papaveraceae. The record is from RefSeq and is a predicted model, not a curated record.
GAAAACCAUCAGCAGCCGAGAGACCCUCUCUUUCCGAACUCUCGUUUCUGUUUUUUUUUUCCUCUAGAUCUGCAAUUUCUCAACCUUUAGUCUCUUGUUGAUCUCUGUCUCUUACUCUUUAUGUUCCUGAUUCAUGUUGUUUAUUUGAAGCGAUCGACGAAGAAUACCUAAAACCUAGAACACAAACUCCUCGUCAAAUAUCAUCAUCAAUGGUUUGGGUGAUAUGGGGGUUUCCAAUUUUUAGCAAUUCGAGCUUUUUGAACUGAUUUGUUCAACUCACGGAUACGAGGAUGAACCAGUUGAGGAUGGUUAUGAAUGAGAUGAAGAGGAGGUUGAAAUUAACAAUCUUGCUGCUGGAGGGGAUGUGGUUGUAGAAGGUGAAGAGAAAGAAGAAGUUGAACCGGUUCAAGAGAUGGGAAGAUGUCUUAGUUUAUGGCUAAGUAUGAACAUCAUCAAUUCAUUGUGUGAUAGGUCAUGGGAUGUGAUUAGAAGGAACUCUCCAUCACGAGAUCAUAUAACAACUUAUUACCGGGUCACGAACAUCUCACUAAAAGGGGUAUAAGUCUUUAUCUUCGUAUGUAUGAUAUACUAGAAUGAAUGAAUAUAUGAUGCAUGCUCCUUGUGUACGUUUUAUAUGUUGUAAGUCUAAAAUCUCUAUAAUGUGAAGCUAAUAAAUAUUUAUAAUAAUAAGAGAGUUUGUAUCUAAUCACGGAAAUGGAUAUCAUUUGGGAUAAGCUUCCUUCAAAUUGUCAACGUUUUCACGAGAAGAGUUUAGACAUCAGGUUCAUUUCUUUCAGUCACCAGUUAACAAGCAAGAAGGAGAUCAGGUUUUGUUGUCGUAGUCGUCGAGACCAAGCAGUGGUGUUAUGGCUGUUCACCAUGGAGCAAGACUCCCAGAAGAAGAAGAAGAAGAAGGAAGAUGGAGUGUAUCUGUUGGUGUUGAAACUGAAGAAACAUGGAGGAAGUAAACUCUGCUGCCAUACAAAUUCAAAGUGAAAGAGGAGAUCAAAGAAGGGAUAACUAGCCUGCAAAGGAUUAAGAUGAAUUGGGGUUUAUCUGUAUUUCAUAUCUGUAGGGAAUGAGAUGCAAUUGUCUUUGAAACCGACAACAUGCUCAUGUUUCCUUCAUCACCAUAAAAUGCACACUUGGUGCCUGUAGAAAUGCCUGAAAGACGUUUCUUCACAACUCAGAGUGGCUCGAGCGUAUGGUUUGUUGGCUCGAGUUCAGGGAUGGAUUGAGCUCGAUUUGGAGCUGAUUUUAGGUGUUGAACUAGAAUUGUAUGGGCAUCAGAAGUGGUUAAAUUUGUGGUGAUUUGGCUGAGUUCUGGCAGUAACAUAACAAGAAGGAAUGAGUAGUUGUUGGACUGAGAUGGGCAUUAACAAGGAUUUUGGGUGAUGUUAGAAAUCAAAGAAGACAGAGAAGAACCUGAUGUUGUUGUUGCUAUAACUGAAGUCCCAUAGAACUGCAAGAUGGACACAGUUGAAUCCAUAAGGUAUCGAUGGGUCUCCUCUACAGACAUAUAUAUUCAUGGGACCAAGAUACUACCAGAAGCUGAAGCACAUGGCAUAUUGUUCAGAAGAUCUUAAACUAAAAGUUGGUUAUGAUUCAGCGGUGCGACUUGGCUGGGCAUCUCUUUGGAAAGAGAGGAAAACAAAAUUGCAGCAGAAAUCAAGAAGCUUCGAUUGAAAUAUUAAGAUCUUCACAAACUGAAGAUUUGGUGUGUUUCUUGCUGUCACCUACGUACUGUAUCAAUCAGUUGAAGAAGACACCUAAAAGAUGGGAGGUGUAGAAAUUGUUUAAGGGAAUUUCCUGGUAAAGCCCUAUGAUAAUUCGGUUUGGUUCAAGCUGUGGUUCUUCAUCUUCUACAUUUUAUCUUAUUCCAGGCUGUAGCUGAGAGUUUACUAAGGGGGUCCGUGGUACCAGUGAUUGGAACUUCAGAGUUUGAAGAAUAUCGCCGAGAUGAUCAGUUCAGUUCUGGAAACAAACUAGCUCAACUACUGAGCUUCACUCAUCAGAAGUCCCAACACUUACUGAGUCUCAUUGGUCUCUAGUAUCUUUCAGGUUCUUCAUCAUCUUGGUCGUAUUUACAAGACGAGAAUUCAGCAUCCUCGUGUGACCAUCCUCUCAAAGCCACAAUAAUCUGCUACAUUCUGAUUACUCACUGUAAGAGAUUGUAACAUUCUGUUUCUAUAUGGAAUCCUUAGAAGCUAAAACAAACAUGGUUGCACCAGCGCAAUGUAAGAAACAAGAACAUUUUUACAUA